CGCGUAGGCUGUCCGCUAAGUCGUGGGUGAAAUCUUUCGGCUCAACCGGAAGACUGCCCUCGAUACUGGCGGGCUAGAGGGAGGUAGGGGCAGCGGGAACUGCCAGUGGAGCGGUGAAAUGCGUUGAUAUUGGCAGGAACGCCGGUGGCGAAAGCGCGCUGCUGGACCUUCCCUGACGCUGAGGCGCGAAAGCUAGGGAGCAAACG
Molecule: ribosomal RNA, 206 nt
Filed under: uncultured bacterium
Lineage: Bacteria
Description: partial 16S ribosomal RNA
Rfam family: Bacterial small subunit ribosomal RNA
Source: RNAcentral